RNAcentral lists this non-coding RNA (30 nucleotides) under Homo sapiens (human). The record is from RNAcentral. Lineage: Eukaryota; Metazoa; Chordata; Mammalia; Primates; Hominidae.
UGCUUGAGCACAGUGUCAUCAUCCGUGGCC